Molecule: ribosomal RNA, 253 nt
Filed under: uncultured bacterium
Lineage: Bacteria
Description: partial 16S ribosomal RNA
Rfam family: Bacterial small subunit ribosomal RNA
Source: RNAcentral
UACGGGGGGGGCAAGCGUUGUUCGGAAUUACUGGGCGUAAAGGGCUCGUAGGCGGCCAACUAAGUCAAACGUGAAAUCCCUCGGCUUAACCGGGGAACUGCGUCUGAUACUGGAUGGCUUGAAUUCGGGAGAGGGAUGUGGAAUUCCAGGUGUAGCGGUGAAAUGCGUAGAUAUCUGGAGGAACACCGGUGGCGAAGGCGGCAUCCUGGACCGACAUUGACGCUGAGGCGCGAAAGCCAGGGGAGCAAACGGG